This 67-nucleotide transfer RNA is filed under the name Ocnus glacialis. Its description in RNAcentral is "tRNA-Met". Lineage: Eukaryota; Metazoa; Echinodermata; Holothuroidea; Dendrochirotida; Cucumariidae. The record is from RNAcentral.
UUCAGGAUAAGCUAAAUUUAAAAGCUAUUGGUCUCAUAAGCCAAAAAUGAUAAAUUAUCUCCUUAAA